RNAcentral lists this ribosomal RNA (433 nucleotides) under uncultured bacterium. Its description in RNAcentral is "partial 16S ribosomal RNA". It matches the Rfam family "Bacterial small subunit ribosomal RNA", at positions 29 to 507 of the family's 1533-position model. The record is from RNAcentral.
AACGAACGCUGGCGGCAUGCCUAACACAUGCAAGUCGAACGAGACCUUCGGGUCUUGUGUCGCACGGGUGCGUAACGCGUGGGAACCUUCCCUUAGGUUCGGAAUAACUCCCCGACAGGGGUGCUAAUACCGGAUAAUGUCUUCUGACCAAAGAUUUAUCGCCUUUGGAUGGGCCCGCGUUGGAUUAGCUAGUUGGUAGGGUAAAAGCCUACCAAGGCGACGAUCCAUAGCUGGUCUGAGAGGAUGAUCAGCCACACUGGGACUGAGACACGGCCCAGACUCCUACGGGAGGCGGCAGUGGGGGAUAUUGGAACAUGGGCGGAAGCAUGAUGCAGCAAUGACGGGUGAGUGAUGAAGGCCUUAGGGAUGUAAAGCUUUUUUAACCGGGAUGAUAAUGACGGUACCGGGAGAAUAAGCCCCGGCUAACUACGUG